UGGGGCUGUUGUGAAGAUUCAAUGAGAUGAUGAUACAUGAAGAGUCUGAUAAGUUAUGUGGGAUGUAACAUAAGCAGCAUAAAAUAAACUGUUAAUAUGGUUCAUUCAUGGUGUGUAUUAAUAAAAUUUAUUAAUAUUAGUAUUAAUACUAAUUUUAGUAUUUUAUUAGUAUUAAUAAAAAUUUUCCUUUUGACAUUUCAUACAUCUCCUUUGUUUUUACUGUUUAAUGGUGCUAUAAAAGGUCAAAACUUAUACUUCCUUCUUUUGCACUUUAUAGUGCUGAGUGGAAGGAAUAUAAAUUGCACAAAAGUGGUGACCCUGCUGGCAUGCUUACUGUUAUAUCUGGAAGGCCUAGCACAUAGUUGAAGCUCAAUGAAUAUGUGAUAAAUGAGCAAAUAAUAGAAGAUGCUCUAGAUUCCAGGGUAGAAAGAACAAAGGACAUGCAGCCCUCCAUCGUAACAAUGGCUGAAGGUCUGGCUCAAUGCCCAUACCAGAGAUGUGACCCUUCAUCUCUCCCAGCUUCCUUUUCCCCAUCUGAAUAAUGAAGGUUGAAUUAUGAUUCCUAAGUCUCUUUCAGUCCUGCCAUUUCACUCAUUCAUACAUUCAGUGUUUACUAAUGCACCUUCUAUAUGCCAGGCACUGUGCCACGUGUGGGGUAUACACUGGAAACUAAAAUAAAUUUUAUGAUCUGAAAAGAGUAAAAGGCACUAAAUAAGUAAAUGAACCUAUCAUCACAGAUUACGAUAUGUGCUAUGGAAGAAGAGGAGAGGGUUCUGAGUGUGUGGAUAAUUCAGUUAAAAGUUGUAUGGUUAGAGAAGGCCACCAUGAGGAGGUGAUUUUGGCUGAAAUCUACAGGAAAGUUGGAUAGAAAGUGAUUCAGACAGAGCCAACAGGCAACCUGAGUCCACUGGUAGCCUAGUAUCUCCUAUCUCAGCUUGAGCCCUCUGGGGCUCUUCCUCAUCCUCAGGAGGUUCUGGUGUCUUGCAGGAUCUGGAUCACUGGAGGGCAUUUGACUGACCUUGAAUGUCCAGGACAGAAGGGAGAAACCCUUAUACUAUGUCCCCAGACCCCUGGGGCCGUGGGCUCAGAGGCUACGACACCUGCAGGUGCUUGCUCUGGGCACAGUCAGGUUUCCCCACAGGAAGCCGCUUCUCUCUUGGGUUACUACUCCCCCCGCUUUGUAAGCUGAAGGGCUCCCGGGCUCUGCCAAGAGCUACAUGGUCUGUUCCAAGUCUGCAGCUAUUAGUCCUCCUUGCUCAGGCAGAUUCCAUUACAGCUCCAAAUUGUUUUCCAAAUAUACUAGAAAGGUCAUUUCCUGUUUUUUUUUUCUUUUAAAAAAUUCAAUAUUUGCAGAAACCACACAAAAAGCAAGCAGAUAUUUUGCAGAAGACACAAAGCACAGAAAUGGGACUUGGUCUCAUGGGAGAGGCUUCCUUAAGGGUGGGCAAAUGUUCUCUGAGGCUUCUCUGAGGGAAGAAAGAAAGGGCUGUGGAAACAUGAUGAAAAUACCAAGGCCUAUUGAACUGGCAUUCCUCACAUUCAAAGAGCAGCGGCUUCUCUCUGUGAUGAGAAGCCAGAACCAGAGAGGCACUAAGACAAACAGAAAAGUCAGGGCCCCAGAUUGAGAACAUUCCAAAAACCUGGGAAAGGGCAGGGCUGCUGGUUCUAGCCACGUGUGGCCUGCUGGGGGCUGGCACCAAAGCUCUAUCCAGUGCCUUAGGGGCACCUCCAGCCCAGGAUUACCAGAGUGGAGCCUGUCUCCUGCCAGGACAGUACCUGCUGCCCAUUCACAAAGAGCGGCCCUUGGGGAGGCUUUAUUUGGAAACAGACAGGCCAGGCCUUGGCCUCUGCUUCUGCUUCUGGAAGGCCCAGACUCGUGCAGGCCUGGGUGCAGGCAGGGGUGAGGAGGGAAAGGGCAAAGUGCUAGAGCCAGACAAGGUCCUCGGUGACUUUUGUUAGGUAGAUAGCAAGGGAUCCCGUGUCUCCUAGGGAUAAAAGUGGGUGCUGUUGCCUUGGUGCAACUGCCCCACCUGGGAAGAAGGACAAGGUGGGCCCCAGGUCCCCAUCUUGGUCCUGCCCCGCCCUAAUCCUGCCCUGAGCUGCCGCCAUACCUGGGAGAGGAGGGAAUAUUCUACAAAUCUGCCAAUUGGAACUUAGCACCCAGCUGCAAAAGCAUGCAGAGAACCCUCUAGCCCACGGGCCAAGCAGCAUAGGUACCAUAGUGUCUGGAAAUUGACCUAGAACAACCCACAUGUGUAGUACGACAGGCCAUACAACUCUCAAUUGUCCAAAGUGGUUCCAUGGUGGCCUCUAAACCAUGAGGGAGGUCCCAAUCUGGGCACUAUAAAAUAAGACACAGACCAUAACCAGACCCUUUUUGCCCUUCCUCUUGCUCUCUUUUUCUGCUGCAACAAGGAGACAUCUGUGCUGUAUGUACCUGGCUUUGUAAACCCAUGUCUUGCUCUUGCUCUAUGAUCCUAUCUUGCUCCCUGCUCAAUAAAUUUCACCUCAGGCUUGUCUGGUCAUUUUUUGGCCAUGAACACACCAAGAACAGAGAACACAAAAUGAGACUAAGCCUGAUGCUUCCACAUGGCCUGUUCCCAUGGACACCUCGCUUUAUGUUUCCUUUUCCCGCUUAUUAUCUUCUCCGAGCACACUCUUUGUGGGCCUUCCAGACACCACACACCCUCAGGGCCUGCUCCAGCCUCUCUGCCACUCCACACAGGCAGCUCCUCCUGACAGCACCUUUGAGCCAGAGCCUCCCCAGGAGGCCGAUCUGCUUUUCAUUUCCUCCCUGGGGGUUCUUACCCUUUCCCUUAAAUAGUGUAUGGUGAUGACUGCCAAGAGCCUAGAUGUGUGACUCUGACUGCCUGGGCAUCGUGUCAUCUGACUACCUCAGCAGCAUUUCAAAUUGCACACAGCAAGUCUCCAGCCUGCUCCCCUCCAACCUUCCCCAGCUCAGCGAAGGCACCACAUGCCCAGGCUGCCCAUCCCUAAGCCUCCUCCUCCUUCACCACCCACAUACGAUUUGUCACCAUGUCCUAUUCUUUCUACUUGCAAAACAGAGCUUGAAUCUGCUCACCUCUCUCCUCCGUGUGCACCACGCAGGCUCCAUGAUGCCUCACCUGGACCCCCGGCAGAGUCCCUCACCACAAUCCUGCUUCCCUCCCCUGCCACAGCCCAAGGUCUAUUUUCUACACAGCAGCCAGGGUGAUGUUCUCAAAACAGAAAUUAGGUCAUGUCAUUCCCCUGCUUCAUCCAGCCUUUGAUGCCUUCCCAUUCCAGAUCUAGCAAAAUCCAUAUUCCUUCUGCCAGCCCCUGAAGCCCUGCAGUGAUCUGGCCCUGCCUUCCUCUGCAAACUUCCGUCUUAUUUCCACUCUCUUCCUGGCCCAUUUUGCUCUGGCCACACUGGCCUCUCUAAUUCCUCAAACCUCACUUAAUCCCUGACCCCGGAACCUUUACUAGACUGUUCCCUCUUCCUGUAAUGUUCCGUUACCCUGCUCUCUAUAGAGCUGUGUAAGUGGUAGGUGGUCCUGGCCCUGGCUUUGCAAAGGUUCCUCCUCUAGGAUUUGACAUGGGGCCCCUACAGGGCAUGAAGCCUCCUGAGUUCCUCUGUCCCCCAUUCCUGCAUGUCAGGAAGGCACUGGCAGAGCUGCCUGGAGGCUAAUGUGGCGUGGUGGACACAGCAAGGGCUUUGGAGUCUCAACUCCUGCCCCUACAGCUGCACCACAUGGUGCUGGGCAACCCACCUGACCAUUUCUUCUAUAAAAUGGGGGGCUAACAACUGCCUGAAAUGGUGAUUGUGGGAUUAAUCAAAGCCAGCAUUUAUGGAGUCCUUACUACAUGCCAGACUGUGCUAGCAUCUUAUAGGCAUUAUCUCAUUCAAUUUUAUAGCAACUCUAUGAAAUAGAGAGUAUCAUCAUCCCAUCGUACAAAAGAGGCAACUGAGGCUCAGAGAGGUUAAGGAGCUUGUCCAAGGCCAUAUACCCAGAGGGUGUGGAGCAGGAUGGGGCUGUGCUAUUAGGUAAAGCAUGGAAAUGAAUUAGCAUCCUUCCUGGCAUAUAGUAAGGGUUUAUUAAAAAGUGUCCACUCCUUCUUCUGCCCUUCUUUCUCCCCUGUCCGUACCUCAUAAUGAGGCAUUUCUGAAGGAAGGGCAAGAAAGCAAGGAAGUCCCAAGAAAGCAUUCUACAGUGCUGGCUAAAACAUGUACAUAGAUGCAUUUUAUCCAUGCUUAAGCAACCUUUUCUUAUGGAUGUUCAGCUGGAGGUAAAAAUCUUCAGAAUCUUUUCUGCAAUGUUGGGUUGAUUCUCUGAGUUCUACCCCAGAUUCUAUUUUUUGGUAUCUAACUUCACAGCAAUAGUAAAAAUAAUUAUUUUGGGCUACACAUUUUAAAACUCUCUCCCCCUCAGCAGCUGUAUCCUACCCUGCAGCAGGGCAGUGUUAUUACUUCACAUAGGGCUGGGGCUGGUGAUUGGAAUUGUGACAUGGACUCUCUUCAACCCAUGAAAGCUGGGGCUUCUUUGGAGGUCUUCAGGAAGAAGAAAGGUCCAGAUGGAUUACUGCUUGGUGGCCAGGCAUGCUGGGGCUCCCCUCCUGCUGUUCAUGCAUUAUCUACUCUGGGUGAGGGAUCAGCUACAAAGCAAGGUUCCCAGAGAGUGGCAGGCUCCAUCCUACUGUGCAGGGAGGGGCAGGAAGGGAAAGUGAGAUCACUUCCAAGCAGGCCUGCCAAAGUCCAGGGGCUAGGCUGUGCUCCACCUCUGCUGAUGCCACACUGGGGGCCUCUGGGCAAGGUUCUUCUCCCUCAAACCUCAGCAGUCUCAAGUGCAGACUGAAGGGGUGAAGUGGAUCUCUCUGUGGUGAUUUUGAAACAUGUCUGCAAAUUCUUUGACAUUCCUCCUAUCAGGAGAGGAGUCUAAUUUCAACCCCAUUGAAUUAGCUGGCCUUAGUGACAAACCGCUAACAAAUAGAACACACCAGAAAUGAUGUUGUGUGACUUCCAAGAUGAGGGCAGAGAGGGUUAUACAGUUUUCACCUGGUUCUCUCUUGAGACACUUGCCUUUGGAGCUUUGAGCUGCAUGUAGGAAAUCUGAGGUAGCCAUGAUGUAAGGAAGCCCAAACAGGGCCCAUGAAGUGAUCACAUGGAGAGGUCCUGAGACAGCAUACAGAGAGAAGCAGCCAGCCAGCCUCUAGCUGUGCUGGCCCUUAGCUGCUCCAGCUCCAGUCACUAUCUAACUGCAACUACAUAAGAGAUCCAAGCCAGAAUUUCCCAGGCAAUCUGUUCCCAAAUUCAUAACCCACAGCAACCACAAGAGACAAUAAAUUAUUGCUGUUGUUUUAAACCACUAAGUAUCGGGGGUGAUAUAUUAUGCAGAAGUGGGUAACCAACGCAAUCUCUAAUGUCACUCCCAGCUUUGGGUUUCCUCUCCAGUUUCUCUAGGAUUCUAUAAAAAGCAUCACCAACAUACACUGUGGAGAAUGAAAAGUAGCAAGAUGUUAUCUCUGUAACAUUCAUUCACUCAUUUAACAAAUUUUAUUGAUCUGCUUUUUUUUUGCUGCCAGACUGCAGCCAUCAUGGGUCACAUGCAUGCUCCCAGGAAGGGCCUGUCCCAGUCAGCUUUGCCCUAUUGCCACAGCGUCCCCACUUGGCUGAAGUGGCGUCUGACAACGUAAGGAGCAGAUUUAUAAACUGGCCAAGAAGGGCCUUACUCCCUCACAGAUCGGUGUGAUCCUGAGGGACUCACAUGGCGUUGCACAAGUACGUUUUGUGACAGGAAAUAAAAUCUUGAGAAUCCUGAAGUCUAAAGGACUUGCUCCUGAUCUUCCUGAAGAUCUCUAUUAUUUAAUUAAGAAAGCGGUUGCUGUUCAAAAGUAUCUUGAGAGGAAUAGAAAGGAUAAGGAUGCUAAAUUCCGUCUGAUUCUGACAGAGAGCCAAAUUCAUCGAUUGGCUCGAUAUUACAAGACCAAGCGAGUUCUUCCUCCCAACUGGAAGUAUGAGUCAUCCACAGCCUCUGCCCUGGUUGCAUAAAUUUGUCUCUGAACUCAAUCAGUAAAAUCAUUGUUUAACUAAAAAAAAAAAAA
Non-coding RNA from Microcebus murinus (gray mouse lemur), 6078 nucleotides. NCBI's taxonomy places the organism in Eukaryota, Metazoa, Chordata, Mammalia, Primates, Cheirogaleidae. The record is from RefSeq and is a predicted model, not a curated record.